GUGCUCGCUCGCGCAGGCGAGUGUCCGCGUCUCCCUCGCGAACUCGGUGAAAGGAAUUGGCGCCGUUCGACACCAGGCGGGUCCGCUCUGCAGCACGAAUCCUCCAGCCGCAGCCGCCGCCGGGCCGAGAGCGAGCCAGCGCCAGCGUGAAUCGGGCCUCACCAUGAGUUCCUCGCCUGUGAACGUGAAGAAGCUGAAGGUGUCGGAACUGAAGGAGGAGCUCAAGAAGCGGCGCCUCUCCGACAAGGGCCUCAAGGCCGAGCUCAUGGAGCGGCUCCAGGCCGCGCUGGACGACGAGGAGGCCGGCGGCCGCCCCGCCAUGGAGCCCGGGAACGGCAGCCUGGACCUGGGCGGGGACUCGGCCGGGCGCUCGGGCGCGGGCCUGGAGCAGGAGGCCGCGGCCGGCGGCGACGACGACGACGAGGAGGACGAGGAGGAGGAGGAGGGCAUCGCCGCUCUGGACGGCGACCAGAUGGAGCUGGGCGAGGAGAACGGGGCGGCGGGGGCGGCCGACGCGGGCCCGAUGGAGGAGGAGGAGGCCGCCUCGGAGGACGAGAACGGCGACGAUCAGGGCUUCCAGGAGGGGGAGGACGAGCUCGGCGACGAGGAGGAGGGCGCGGGCGACGAGAACGGGCACGGCGAGCAGCAGCCCCAACCGCCGGCGGCGCCGCAGCCGCAGCCCCCGCAGCAGCGCGGGGCCGCCAAGGAGGCGGGGGGCAAGAGCGGCGGCCCCACCUCGCUGUUCGCCGUGACCGUGGCGCCGCCCGGCGCGAGGCAGGGCCAGCAGCAGGCGGGAGGUAAGAAGAAGGCGGAAGGCGGCGGAGGCGGCGGUCGCCCCGGGGCUCCGGCGGCGGGAGACGGCAAAGCAGAGCAGAAGGGCGGAGAUAAAAAGAGAGGGGUGAAGAGACCUCGGGAGGACCACGGCCGCGGCUAUUUCGAGUACAUUGAGGAGAACAAGUACAGCAGAGCCAAGUCUCCUCAGCCGCCAGUGGAGGAAGAAGAUGAACACUUCGAUGACACAGUGGUUUGUCUUGAUACUUAUAAUUGUGAUCUGCAUUUUAAAAUAUCAAGAGAUCGUCUCAGUGCUUCUUCCCUUACUAUGGAGAGUUUUGCUUUUCUUUGGGCUGGAGGAAGGGCAUCUUAUGGUGUGUCAAAGGGCAAAGUCUGUUUUGAGAUGAAGGUUACAGAGAAGAUCCCAGUGAGGCAUUUAUAUACAAAAGAUAUUGACAUACAUGAAGUUCGUAUUGGCUGGUCACUAACCGCAAGUGGAAUGUUGCUUGGUGAGGAAGAAUUUUCUUAUGGAUAUUCUCUAAAAGGAAUAAAAACCUGCAAUUGUGAGACUGAAGAUUAUGGAGAGAAGUUUGACGAAAAUGAUGUGAUUACAUGUUUUGCUAACUUUGAAAGCGAUGAAGUGGAACUCUCUUAUGCAAAGAAUGGACAAGAUCUUGGCAUUGCCUUUAAAAUCAGUAAGGAAGUUCUUGCUGGACGGCCACUAUUCCCACAUGUUCUCUGCCACAACUGUGCAGUUGAAUUUAAUUUUGGUCAGAAGGAAAAGCCAUAUUUUCCAAUACCUGAAGACUAUACUUUUAUCCAGAAUGUCCCCUUGGAGGAUCGAGUUAGAGGACCGAAGGGGCCUGAAGAGAAGAAAGAUUGUGAAGUGGUUAUGAUGAUUGGCUUGCCAGGAGCUGGAAAAACAACCUGGGUUACUAAACAUGCAGCAGAAAAUCCUGGUAAAUACAACAUUCUUGGAACAAAUACCAUAAUGGAUAAAAUGAUGGUGGCAGGUUUUAAGAAGCAAAUGGCAGAUACUGGAAAACUCAACACGCUGUUGCAGAGAGCUCCACAGUGUCUUGGAAAGUUUAUUGAGAUUGCUGCCCGUAAGAAGCGAAAUUUCAUUCUGGAUCAGACAAAUGUAUCUGCUGCUGCCCAGAGGAGAAAAAUGUGCCUCUUUGCAGGCUUCCAACGAAAAGCUGUCGUAGUUUGCCCAAAAGAUGAAGACUAUAAGCAGAGAACACAGAAGAAAGCAGAAGUGGAGGGGAAAGACCUACCAGAGCAUGCAGUCCUCAAAAUGAAAGGAAACUUUACGCUGCCAGAGGUAGCUGAGUGCUUUGAUGAAAUAACCUAUGUUGAACUUCAGAAGGAGGAAGCCCAGAAACUUUUGGAGCAGUAUAAGGAAGAAAGCAAAAAGGCUCUUCCACCAGAAAAGAAACAGAACACUGGCUCAAAGAAGAGCAAUAAAAAUAAGAGUGGCAAGAACCAGUUUAACAGAGGUGGUGGCCAUAGAGGACGUGGUGGAUUCAAUAUGCGUGGUGGAAAUUUCAGAGGAGGAGCUCCUGGGAAUCGUGGUGGAUAUAAUAGGAGGGGCAAUAUGCCACAGAGAGGUGGUGGCGGUGGUGGAAGUGGUGGAAUUGGCUAUCCAUACCCUCGUGGCCCUGUUUUUCCCAGCCGAGGUGGUUAUUCAAACAGAGGGAACUACAACAGAGGUGGAAUGCCCAACAGAGGGAACUACAACCAGAACUUUAGAGGACGAGGAAACAAUCGCGGCUACAAAAAUCAAUCUCAGGGCUACAACCAGUGGCAGCAGGGUUCUGUCCAUGUGAAUGUGCUGUGUGGAAGAGUAAAAGGGCCCAACUAAAUGUGUUCCAGAGAUUCCAAUAGCUAUUUAGCUGGUACCUACUGCUAUAUCACCUAGUGUGAAUUUUCGGAAUUAAUGGAACAAUGAAGGAAGCAGUGCAGCUGGAGGCUCCAAGUGGGCAUGGAAGGUCUCCUCCAAUUUAUGCAAUCAUUCUGCUGUGAACAUGAACUAACCUUGUUACUGGUGAAGGCCUUGGAAAUUUUUGCCAGCCGAAAAAGAGGUUUCUCUCUUACUCAGGGUAAGAUGUGAUCGUAGUGUGCUAGAGCUAGAAGAGACUUUCUUUAAUCCAGUUGCCCGGUUUUCUGUUACAUAUGUUAGUAAACGGAAGCUGAGAACAUAAGUGGCCUGCAAACAGCUUAUGAAAUAUUAGAUUUGAUUCGUACUCAUCACUUUUUCCCCUACUCAUGCAGUGUGCUGCCUCUUAAAACGAGUGACACUCACUCCCUGAGAUUUUAACAUAAUUAUUUGGUCAUGAUAAUUUGAACAACAUAGACUGCACUCAACUUUGACUUGUGUCGGUAAGAGUGGGCAGAUGUUCUUGCACAUUGUGCAAUUUACUGUAAUUAACUUUCCCUAAUCAAUAUCCAAGUCCUACCCUUGGUGGCUGCCAGAUAAUUAGGAUCAAUAAAAAUCUCUUAGGAUAUGCUUCACAAUGUUAUUCUCCAGUAGUUACGGCAUUUGGUAAACCACAUAGCCUGUGCAUCCCCACCCUCAUGACGACAGCCACAAGAAGGUGGAUGUGGGAAGAAAAUGCUACAUCUCUGGUUCAUUGACCUGGAGGAGCAAGCCCCACUUACCUUAUGAAAAGGGAUACAGAACAAAGUUUCAGGACAUCUCUUCCUUGCUCUGUUUCUUUAGCUCACCAUAUUAAGUAACAGAACCAAUAAUGAUGCCAUAAUCCUGUCCACUGGUGUCUCUUUUCAUAUUUAUCAUUUCUUAACCAAGAAGACUUCCAGCUUGUGCUUUGUCAUAUUUAAAAGAUUUUCUUGAAAAGUAAUGUUAAUGUUUUUUUAAAACCAAAAAUAAUUUAAUUGCUUUGGAAAGGGAGAAUUUUUUCCUGAAUGAAUAAAUUCUGUGGACUUAGUUUGAUGUUGGGUGCCUUGUUUGCUGUUUUUCUGGCAGCCGAUUAAAUUGUUACAUUAAUGUAAAUAAGACCUUUAUAAUAUGAGUGUAAUCCUGCAUUUCUUUUUCCUUUGCACCAAACAAGUUCUGAAAAUAUUUUCAUGCAUGCCAUGUGCAUAUUUAAAUUCUAUUUAUAUAAUUAAAACCCUGUAUACUUCCAAAAAAUAUUUAGAGCAGUUAAAGACAUUUAUUUUUUGCAAGAUGACUUACCUGUUGUAAGAAAUGGAAGAAUAGUGUCAAGCAGUGGGUACAUUUUUUAACAUACCAAUUUGCAAAGUGAUAAAAUCCAUUACUUUGUCUUAGAAUAGUACUGGCUUUAGAAACCAGGAGGUAUUCCCUAAUUUUUAACGGGACAGUAAUACAGUUGUUUGUUGUUUUUAAGGCAAGUUUUAGAAUCCAACUGGGAGAGAUUUUAUUUCUUGAAAUGCUGUCAUUUGUAUUCAUUCAUUCCUUAUCACAAAUUAAGUAUGAUAAGUCCACUCUAUGCUGUACUGGCAGUAGAUACAGGGUCAGAACAACUUUGUAAGUAUUCAUACGAGUGUUAAAAAAAAAAAAAAAAGACUACCAUUUACAC
This is a non-coding RNA of Equus caballus (horse), 4331 nucleotides long. The record is from RefSeq and is a predicted model, not a curated record. NCBI's taxonomy places the organism in Eukaryota, Metazoa, Chordata, Mammalia, Perissodactyla, Equidae.